This 902-nucleotide ribosomal RNA is filed under the name Staphylococcus aureus. RNAcentral's name for it is "bacterial SSU rRNA". It matches the Rfam family "Bacterial small subunit ribosomal RNA", at positions 1 to 880 of the family's 1533-position model. Lineage: Bacteria; Bacillati; Bacillota; Bacilli; Caryophanales; Staphylococcaceae. The record is from RNAcentral.
AGAGUUGACAGAGUUUAAAUCUGACUCAGGAUGAGCGCUGGCGGCGUGCAUAAUACAUGCAAGUCGAGCGAACGGACGAGAAGCUUGCUUUUAUUGAUGUAAGCGGCGGACGGGUGAGUAACACGUGGAUAACCUCCCUAUAAGACUGGGGAUACCUUCGGGAACCCGGAGUUAAUCCCGGAUAAUAUUUUGAACCCCCAUGGUUCAAAAGUGAAAGACGGUCUUGCUGUCACUUAUAGAUGGAUCCGCGCUGCAUUAGCUAGUUGGUAAGGUAACGGCUUACCAAGGCAACGAUGCAUAGCCGACCUGAGAGGGUGAUCGGCCACACUGGAACUGAGACACGGUCCAGACUCCUACGGGAGGCAGCAGUAGGGAAUCUUCCGCAAUGGGCGAAAGCCUGACGGAGCAACGCCGCGUGAGUGAUGAAGGUCUUCGGAUCGUAAAACUCUGUUAUUAGGGAAGAACAUAUGUGUAAGUAACUGUGCACAUCUUGACGGUACCUAAUCAGAAAGCCACGGCUAACUACGUGCCAGCAGCCGCGGUAAUACGUAGGUGGCAAGCGUUAUCCGGAAUUAUUGGGCGUAAAGCGCGCGUAGGCGGUUUUUUAAGUCUGAUGUGAAAGCCCCCGGCUCAACCGUGGAGGGUCAUUGGAAACUGGAAAACUUGAGUGCAGAAGAGGAAAGUGGAAUUCCAUGUGUAGCGGUGAAAUGCGCAGAGAUAUGGAGGAACACCAGUGGCGAAGGCGACUUUCUGGUCUGUAACUGACGCUGAUGUGCGAAAGCGUGGGGAUCAAACAGGAUUAGAUACCCUGGUAGUCCACGCCGUAAACGAUGAGUGCUAAGUGUUAGGGGGUUUCCGCCCCUUAGUGCUGCAGCUAACGCAUAAGCACUCCGCAGGGGUAC